This 1640-nucleotide ribosomal RNA is filed under the name Triticum aestivum (bread wheat). RNAcentral describes it as "partial small subunit ribosomal RNA". Lineage: Eukaryota; Viridiplantae; Streptophyta; Magnoliopsida; Poales; Poaceae. The record is from RNAcentral.
CUCGACAAACACACCGCCAAAAGAGUUACAUCGAAUAAAUCUCCAAGAUGAUCGAGGAGAACAUGGUAUUGAGAUCCAAGAAGAGAGAAGAAGUCAUCUAGCUAAUAACUAUGGACUCGAAGGUCUGUGGUAAACUACUCACAACUCAUCGGAGGGGCUAUGAUGUUGAUGUAGAAGCCCUCCGUGGUCGAUUCCCCCUCCGGCGGAGUGUCGGCGAAGUCUCCAAGAUGGAAUCUCGCGGAUACAGAAGGUUACGGCGGUGAAAAUUGUUUUUCGUUGGCUCCCUGGAUGUUUUCGGGGUACGUGGGUAUAUAUAGGAGGAAGAAGUAGGUCGGUGGCCGCCCGAGGGGCCCACGAGAUAGCGGGCGUGCCCUGUAGGGGUGGGCGCACCCUCCACCCUCGUGGCCGCCUCGGCUGCUUCUUGGCUUGCACUCCAAGUCCUCUGUAUCACGUUUGUUCCAAAAGUCACGCUUCCGAAGGUUUCAUUCCGUUUGCCGUUUGGACUCUGUUUGAUAUUCCUUUUCUUCGAAAUACUGAAAUAGGCAAAAAAACAGCAAUACGGGCUGGGCCUCCGGUUAGUAAGUUAGUCCCAAAAAUGAUAUAAAUGUGUAAAAUAAAGCCCAUAAACAUCCAAAACGGGUAAUAUAAUAGUAUGGAACAAUCAAAAAUUAUAGAUACGUUGGAGACGUAUCACCGCCCCCCUCGUCUCAUGGCCAUCAAGAUCGUUGUAACUUCUACUGCGGCUGCAGCUCUACCACUGGCUGGUUCCAGCGCAUGGUCCAUGUGGUUGUAGCAAAAAUCUCUCACGUCACCGGCUCCAGCUCACCACCAUCAUCGACUAGCACCGCCAUGAUCCAGUAAAACAAUCUUGGUAACAAAACCUCCCAAAUGAUCAGUUGAAGCAAAACAAAGAGGUGGUUCCAGCCAACAAUAACACCGGUUGUAGCAAAAAUCACAUGAAGCAAAUCCAAAAAAGAGAAGCCGAUGUAGCAAAAAAAAGCAUGUUCAAGCAAAACAAAAAGCUGGUUCCAGCAAAAACCAUGUCGGCGAGGCGUCCAGUCCCAACAAAAAUCAGAAAGCAAAAAAAAAAACAUAAGAACAAUCGAUGUAGCAAAAAUACUAGCAGGUUCCAGCAAACAUUAAGCUGGUUCCAGCAAAGAAACCUGUAUCGUCUGAGAGAGGAGCGUCCUGUUGUAGCAAAAAUCACAGGAAGCAAAAUUCAGAAAAAAAGAGUAUAUGUAGCAAAAACACUAGCAAGUUCCAGCAAAAGCAUAAAGCUGGUUCCAGCAUAACCCAAGUCGGCGGUGAGAGAAGAGCACCAGUGGACGCCAGUUCAGCUCUACAAGACAUAGGUUACAACUCUGCCGGUGAGGAUUGCACCAAAAAAACAUCCCGUCAGCUGUGGGGGGGCAUGGCACUAGUACCCGCGGAUCCAGCACGCCGUCCCGCCGCGUGUUCCCCGUCGCCACCCAUAUGCAUCACCACAGCAUCUCUGCGCCGGUCGCCUCGCGCACCAUGAGGCACAAUGCUCGUGCGGAAGAGGAGAGGGGUGAGCAGGGGGCUGGUUCGAGCUUGCAGGGAUGGCCAUCGUCGGCAAGGAGAGGGACUAGGAUUGGGAGGCUGGAAGCGAUGCUGUGGAG